Cavia porcellus (domestic guinea pig) is the source of this 1875-nucleotide long non-coding RNA. RefSeq lists it as uncharacterized. The record is from RefSeq and is a predicted model, not a curated record. NCBI's taxonomy places the organism in Eukaryota, Metazoa, Chordata, Mammalia, Rodentia, Caviidae. The transcript has 6 exons.
AGCCCCGCCCUGGAGUGGGUGGGUGGUAGCCUGAAUGGAGGAUCCCAUCCUGUGGGCUGGGUGGCCUCAGGGGGAUGUUCAAAGAGCUCUGCUUCAGAGCCCUCAUUUCCACACUACACUCACUUUGGACAGCAGAUUUCAGAGUGACCUUACACAGUAGUGUUACUUGGAGAAGGUGCAUAGAAUAUUUGACAUGGCUCCCAAAGCUCCCUUUUCAAAGGGGUCUUUGUUGGAGUUUUGAUGAACUGCACAUCAUCACACUGUGGGCAGGCAAUUUCUUGUUCAAAGCCUUAAAGCUGGGGUACCCUCCUAACUUGUGUCCUGGUUUCGAAUUUCACCAUCCACCUCUGCAGACCUCCAUGGAUCCGAUUGUCCCGAUUGCUUGAGGAGGUGAUGGGAAUUGAAACCAGUGGAAGGAAGUGCCUGAUACACUGUUCAUGGUAGCCAAAUGUGCUGUUUGAUAACUUUAACCUGCUCACCUUUCAUCUACAUUCAUCACCUCCAACUCAUGAAGGACACCUCACCUGUGGGAAUUUCCUUACAGAGUAAGACAAAUACCAAGAAAAUUUGGAAAUUUCACCAACAGGAAGUCAGAUGACAGAUUUUCACAGAGCAGGCACCAUCAUCCCGAGGACAACGGAGGAAGCACAGAGUGUGGACCCACACUCUUCUUUUUAUGUAAUCCUUGAUGAGUAGUGGACAUUGAUUAAGGAACUGAGGAACAGAGAGCUUGAGAGUGCUGCCCAAAGCCAUUGGAGCUCAACUCCCAGGCAAAUUGUACACCGUCAUGGAAAAAUUGAGGACCAUGACUUAUACACCAGCUGGAUUCCAGCUCUGCUUCCCCUUCAGGCCCAGCACAAGUUGGGCAUCGCUUUACCUUACUUGGGUGCCCUCUGCUCUGAGACCCCUGGGACGCUCCCUCUUUACCAACUGAAGGCAGCGUGUGGUCUGUUUGUAAUUAUGCUGGGACAAAAAUGUCUCUGUGCUUCCAUCUCUGAACAGGAAUCAGUGUUUUUCAUACAAGGACGAUGAUGGAUUUUCUAUACCUUCUCAGUUAUGUGCUCACAGCCUGUUGCUCUUGUUAGAAUCCAGGAAGGUGAAAUCUGUCUUUCUGGCUCACCACAUAGCUCCACAGGCUCAUGCAGACCUAAGCAUCUAUAUGAAUUUGUUAUUUAUUGGCUGGUCAAUAUACAGAAGAGUGAAUACCUUGAUGGUGAUCUCUUGAUUCAAAUUAUUUGAAUUUGGGGGAGUGGGGAAGUGGGGUUCAUAUAUGUUUCCUAAGACUUUAUCCAUUUGAAAUAUAAGAGCAAUAACGCUGUGUGUGUGUGGUGGGGAGAGAUAGUGUAAUCACUUAGAAGCAUUUUAUGAAUUCACAAACAUUAUGAGCUGAUAGAAUUUUUGGCAUGGCUAAAAAGAUAGAAAUAUGAAAUAAAAGUGGCCUUUAUUUUAAGAAUGCAGAGAGAGAAUCCCAUUGUUGUACUCUACUCAAAAAACAGGGCCCCAUGCUGAAAAAUGGGGCAAGACCCCAAGAUGACAAACGGGGCAAGAUGUCUUUUUUAAAAGAAGCGCUUUUAUUUUAGCUGGCCCAGCGACACAGUACAGAUGGAAUUGCAAAGCUGUGCAACUGAGUUAGAGUUUUGACUGAUUUUUAUAGUUCAUUUAUGAUUAGCUCAUUGAUCAUUAAGUACAUAGUGAUGAGAAACAGAAAUAAGGUGGGCCUUGUUCCCCUUUGCUUGAGGUAAGAGGCAUUUCACAGUGGGUGGUUAGCCAAUUCAUAGCCUUUGGUCUGCCAAUUCCAAGAACAUUUGUCUCUCAUAAAGGGAACAAUGGUUGACACAGCAUCAUUUGUCUCUUACAAGGGGAACAAAAGUUGAU